Molecule: ribosomal RNA, 733 nt
Filed under: uncultured archaeon
Lineage: Archaea
Description: bacterial SSU rRNA
Rfam family: Archaeal small subunit ribosomal RNA
Source: RNAcentral
GAAAAAUGGUUCUUAUCUGCCAUAGGAUAGGAUCGUGCUCGAUUAUGGUUGUUGGUGAGGUAAAGGCUCACCAAGCCGAUAAUCGAUAGGGGCCGUGAGAGCGGGAGCCCCAAGAUGGGUACUGAGACAGCGACCCAGGCCUUACGAGGCGCAGCAGGUACGAAACCUCCGCAAUACACGAAAGUGUGACGGGGUUACCCAAAGUGUUCUUAUAGAACUCUGGCAGGUGAGUAAUGUCCCCUGCUAGAAAGGAGAGGGCAAGGCUGGUGCCAGCCGCCGCGGUAAAACCAGCUCUUCAAGUGGUCGGGAUAAUUAUUGGGCUUAAAGUGUCCGUAGCCGGUUUAGUAAGUUCCUGGUAAAAUCAGGUAGCUUAACUAUCUGUAUGCUAGGAAUACUGCUAUACUAGAGGGCGGGAGAGGUCUGAGGUACUACAGGGGUAGGGGUGAAAUCUUAUAAUCCUUGUAGGACCACCAGCGGCGAAGGCGUCAGACUGGAACGCGCCUGACGGUGAGGGACGAAAGCCAGGGGAGCGAACCGGAUUAGAUACCCGGGUAGUCCUGGCCGUAAACGAUGCAUACUAGGUGAUGGUACGGCCAUGAGCCGUGUCAGUGCCGUAGGGAAACCGUUAAGUGUGCCGCCUGGGAAGUACGGUCGCAAGGCUAAAACUUAAAGGAAUUGGCGGGGGAGCACCACAAGGGGUGAAGCCUGCGGUUCAAUUGGAUUCAACGCCGGA